RNAcentral lists this ribosomal RNA (1490 nucleotides) under Helicobacter pylori Hp A-27. Its description in RNAcentral is "bacterial SSU rRNA". It matches the Rfam family "Bacterial small subunit ribosomal RNA". Lineage: Bacteria; Pseudomonadati; Campylobacterota; Epsilonproteobacteria; Campylobacterales; Helicobacteraceae. The record is from RNAcentral.
GAGUUUGAUCCUGGCUCAGAGUGAACGCUGGCGGCGUGCCUAAUACAUGCAAGUCGAACGAUGAAGCUUCUAGCUUGCUAGAGUGCUGAUUAGUGGCGCACGGGUGAGUAACGCAUAGGUUAUGUGCCUCUUAGUUUGGGAUAGCCAUUGGAAACGAUGAUUAAUACCAGAUACUCCCUACGGGGGAAAGAUUUAUCGCUAAGAGAUCAGCCUAUGUCCUAUCAGCUUGUUGGUAAGGUAAUGGCUUACCAAGGCUAUGACGGGUAUCCGGCCUGAGAGGGUGAACGGACACACUGGAACUGAGACACGGUCCAGACUCCUACGGGAGGCAGCAGUAGGGAAUAUUGCUCAAUGGGGGAAACCCUGAAGCAGCAACGCCGCGUGGAGGAUGAAGGUUUUAGGAUUGUAAACUCCUUUUGUUAGAGAAGAUAAUGACGGUAUCUAACGAAUAAGCACCGGCUAACUCCGUGCCAGCAGCCGCGGUAAUACGGAGGGUGCAAGCGUUACUCGGAAUCACUGGGCGUAAAGAGCGCGUAGGCGGGAUAGUCAGUCAGGUGUGAAAUCCUAUGGCUUAACCAUAGAAAUGCAUUUGAAACUACUAUUCUAGAGUGUGGGAGAGGUAGGUGGAAUUCUUGGUGUAGGGGUAAAAUCCGUAGAGAUCAAGAGGAAUACUCAUUGCGAAGGCGACCUGCUGGAACAUUACUGACGCUGAUUGCGCGAAAGCGUGGGGAGCAAACAGGAUUAGAUACCCUGGUAGUCCACGCCCUAAACGAUGGAUGCUAGUUGUUGGAGGGCUUAGUCUCUCCAGUAAUGCAGCUAACGCAUUAAGCAUCCCGCCUGGGGAGUACGGUCGCAAGAUUAAAACUCAAAGGAAUAGACGGGGACCCGCACAAGCGGUGGAGCAUGUGGUUUAAUUCGAAGAUACACGAAGAACCUUACCUAGGCUUGACAUUGAGAGAAUCCGCUAGAAAUAGUGGAGUGUCUGGCUUGCUAGACCUUGAAAACAGGUGCUGCACGGCUGUCGUCAGCUCGUGUCGUGAGAUGUUGGGUUAAGUCCCGCAACGAGCGCAACCCCCUUUCUUAGUUGCUAACAGGUCAUGCUGAGAACUCUAAGGAUACUGCCUCCGUAAGGAGGAGGAAGGUGGGGACGACGUCAAGUCAUCAUGGCCCUUACGCCUAGGGCUACACACGUGCUACAAUGGGGUGCACAAAGAGAAGCAAUACUGCGAAGUGGAGCCAAUCUUCAAAACACCUCUCAGUUCGGAUUGUAGGCUGCAACUCGCCUGCAUGAAGCUGGAAUCGCUAGUAAUCGCAAAUCAGCCAUGUUGCGGUGAAUACGUUCCCGGGUCUUGUACUCACCGCCCGUCACACCAUGGGAGUUGUGUUUGCCUUAAGUCAGGAUGCUAAAUUGGCUACUGCCCACGGCACACACAGCGACUGGGGUGAAGUCGUAACAAGGUAACCGUAGGUGAACCUGCGGUUGGAUCACC